Molecule: transfer RNA, 76 nt
Filed under: Pseudaquabacterium terrae
Lineage: Bacteria; Pseudomonadati; Pseudomonadota; Betaproteobacteria; Burkholderiales; Sphaerotilaceae
Description: tRNA-Gly
Rfam family: tRNA
About the family: Transfer RNA (tRNA) molecules are approximately 80 nucleotides in length. Their secondary structure includes four short double-helical elements and three loops (D, anti-codon, and T loops).
Source: RNAcentral
GCGGAUGUAGCUCAGUUGGCAGAGCGCGACCUCGCCAGGGUCGAGGCCACGAGUUCGAGACUCGUCGUCCGCUCCA